GCGACCCCAGGUCAGACGGGACUACCCGCUGAGUUUAAGCAUAUCAAUAAGCGGAGGAAAAGA
RNAcentral lists this ribosomal RNA (63 nucleotides) under Blennosperma nanum. Its description in RNAcentral is "partial 25S ribosomal RNA". It matches the Rfam family "Eukaryotic large subunit ribosomal RNA", at positions 1 to 62 of the family's 3401-position model. Lineage: Eukaryota; Viridiplantae; Streptophyta; Magnoliopsida; Asterales; Asteraceae. RNAcentral also lists the same sequence under 1 other name. The record is from RNAcentral.